Molecule: ribosomal RNA, 433 nt
Filed under: uncultured bacterium
Lineage: Bacteria
Description: partial 16S ribosomal RNA
Rfam family: Bacterial small subunit ribosomal RNA
Source: RNAcentral
AACGAACGCUGGCGGCAUGCCUAACACAUGCAAGUCGAACGAGACCUUCGGGUCUAGUGGCGCACGGGUGCGUAACGCGUGGGAACCUGCCCUUAUGUUCGGAAUAACUCCCCGAAAGGGGUGCUAAUACCGGAUACUCCCUUCGGACCAAAGAUUUAUCGCCUUUGGAUGGGCCCGCGUUGGAUUAGCUAGUUGGUAGGGUAAAAGCCUACCAAGGCGACGAUCCAUAGCUGGUCUGAGAGGAUGAUCAGCCACACUGGGACUGAGACACGGCCCAGACUCCUACGGGAGGCAGCAGUGGGGAAUAUUGGACAAUGGGCGAAAGCCUGAUCCAGCAAUGCCGCGUGAGUGAUGAAGGCCUUAGGGUUGUAAAGCUCUUUUACCCGGGAUGAUAAUGACAGUACCGGGAGAAGAAGCUCCGGCUAACUCCGUG